UUGCGCUGGGACAGGGUGACUAGGGAGCGGGCAGGGCUUUCAGGAGCAGGAAUUCCUCGUUGGAGAGAGGUUGGAGAGUGGGGGCCUAUAGGCAGGAGUGCUGGGGCAGGCUCCAGGAGCAGGUCCCGAGCUUCCCAGAGGAGCCCGGCACACAGGAGAAUGCAGAAUCAGCUGCAACAGAGCUGCAAAGGCUAAAGGAGGGCCAGGAGCCAAAGGACCAUUGCAUGCCUGACAAAGUCGAUAAGUCAUCUCGUUAUCUCAAGGCAGAUACUGACCUCAGACAAAUAAUCUUUGGGACUCUUGGUGUUUGUUUCUGGUUCCAUCAACUCUGAGCUACUUGCCAGCUUGUGAAUGUCCAUCCUUGACCAUGAGGCAGCAGAAGGAGGAAAUGUGGCCAUUUUAGUGCUUUUCCUUCAGGUCUCACUCGACCAUCACUUCCUGGGAGAGGCCCCUUGACCACCUGCUAAGACAGGCCAGUGAAUCUUUGUCUACCUUGGCCGUGAGCCAGAAGCUCUCUGAGGGCAGGUACAGUAUCUAACUUGCUCAACCUUGAGUCCCUGCACCUGCAUAGCACCAGGAAAAUGCAUGUGUGCUGAAUGACUGAAUAAAAAAA
Long non-coding RNA from Capra hircus (goat), 613 nucleotides. RefSeq lists it as uncharacterized. Lineage: Eukaryota; Metazoa; Chordata; Mammalia; Artiodactyla; Bovidae. The record is from RefSeq and is a predicted model, not a curated record. The transcript is spliced from 3 exons.